ACAUUCUGGGAGCAGUUUUGUCAUGUUUGAGCAAGUUUCCAUGAAUGUUUCUUAAUAUAAUACCAGGAUAUGUCAGCUCUGUCUUAUAUUUGCAAUGACUCUUAUUUUCUUCUUAAUUAAACACAGAAGCUGCUGAUCUGAGGACAAAAAUAGAAUCUGAUGAAGUCUGAAUUUUUUCCCAGAAAAUAUUCUGUCUUUGCCUCCAGAUGUCAAAAGUUACACAUGAGUACAGCUCACACAGGGAAAGGGGAAAACAGCAACCUCUUGAGCUGGAGCCUUAGGCUAGAAAAGAUCACUGAUUACCCACCUGUUCCCCCUGGAUACUAGGGCUUCAAUCCAGAAGGUGCUGUGAUGAAGUGGCUUCAGCAAAAUAUUACCUGAGACAUCCUGAUCCAUUAUGAGAACGGCAGCAGCAGGAUUUGGCCUGGGGAUGGAACAAAGGGACCCCCUGCUGUAGAGCAAGGGAUGCAGCAUCCUCGUGGCUGUUCACAUACCAUUGCACUGGGAUAUGUCUCUCUUCACUCUCCAUUUCCCACCCCACAAAAACCCCAUCGCCUGCCUUAUGUGAGAAUUGGAACCAUAAAAAUAAAACAAAGAUGUCUUCUUAUGUAUGAUAAUUAAUGGGAACAAAAUGUCUUGGAUGAAAUAUUACUGGCAAAACAAAGCAUAACCAGAUGUUGUGCAAUGCAAGACCCAACAUAAAGUAAUGAAGAACUCCACUGAGUCAGACGUGUCUACUUGAAAAAUGUUUACUUUGACAAUCAAAUGAAAAAGUAAAAAAUAUAUAGAUGCAAAGACUGCUUUUCAGGAAAACAGUGGGUUCUUUCCCCAGAGCUCUAAAAAGUUUAGAUAUUGUAGCCAAAACGUCGUAAAAUAUGAUUUUGUUUUCUGCUUUUUUUCCCCAGGGAGAAGGGAAUUUUAAAGAAGAGAUUGCAUCAAUAAAGAUUCUUUUAGCAUUAUUUUUAUCAUUAUAAAAA
This 977-nucleotide long non-coding RNA is filed under the name Homo sapiens (human). RNAcentral describes it as "HSALNT0394044". Lineage: Eukaryota; Metazoa; Chordata; Mammalia; Primates; Hominidae. The record is from RNAcentral.